GGGGGCGCCCUGGUUUCGACUGGAAGUCUGAGGUGCUGGCUGCAUGUGAAGGUUAAUCGGUUGGCCUUCUAAAAAGCCGAUUAAAAAAAUAAAUGCAGAGUCUAAUGACUUCGCAAUGGCUGCUUAAUUAGUUCAGCCGCGUCAGAACCUCAACGCCUGCUAGAGGGGACGACGACAGUUUAGCAGGCUGGUACAAGGUGGGGUUACCGCACUGAGUAUGAGACUUCCACAGGUAACUAGCGGCACGAGUGGGUGGCACAUAACCGUGACUGUCGCGAAUCGCAGCCUAUGUGUCUGAACAUGGAGAUGCUGGUUCCAACGGCCUUCAGGACACGGGUUCGACUCCCGUCGCCUCCACCA
Molecule: transfer-messenger RNA, 360 nt
Filed under: Akkermansia sp.
Lineage: Bacteria; Pseudomonadati; Verrucomicrobiota; Verrucomicrobiia; Verrucomicrobiales; Akkermansiaceae
Rfam family: transfer-messenger RNA
About the family: Bacterial tmRNA, also known as 10Sa RNA or SsrA, is named for its dual tRNA and mRNA-like properties. Its role is to liberate the mRNA from a stalled ribosome. To accomplish this part of the tmRNA is used as a reading frame that ends in a translation stop signal.
Source: RNAcentral